GAGUAGUCCUAUGAGAUUUGAGAAGUUAAGUCCAUGAAUCUGUGGCCACAGUAGAGUGAUUGAUGGAAAAAAAUUUUCAUAGACAUCACAUCUGGACUUGAGCUAAUCAAAUCUAUCAUAUGAUUGAUGUUGAGGUUUGACGAUUUAUCCAUGACCUACCAUCUAGUCAGGACUUACGAUAGAGGGACUGAAUCACACAUUAACCACACCUAGAGGUUUAUUUCAGUUCUACUGGGUUGUCACUACAUACUGCUAGGUGUCACUGGUGG
Molecule: long non-coding RNA, 269 nt
Filed under: Elaeis guineensis (African oil palm)
Lineage: Eukaryota; Viridiplantae; Streptophyta; Magnoliopsida; Arecales; Arecaceae
Description: long non-coding RNA (EGUI_LNC014540)
Source: RNAcentral